This 253-nucleotide ribosomal RNA is filed under the name uncultured bacterium. Its description in RNAcentral is "partial 16S ribosomal RNA". It matches the Rfam family "Bacterial small subunit ribosomal RNA", at positions 524 to 776 of the family's 1533-position model. The record is from RNAcentral.
UACAGAGGCCCCAAGCGUUGUUCGGAUUCACUGGGCGUAAAGGGUGCGUAGGUGGUGAGGUAAGUCGGAUGUGAAAGCUCGGAGCUCAACUCCGAAAUGGCAUUGGAAACUACCUUGCUCGAGGGUUGGAGGGGGGACUGGAAUGCUUGGUGUAGCAGUGAAAUGCGUAGAUAUCAAGCGGAACACCAGUGGCGAAGGCGAGUCCCUGGACAACUCCUGACACUGAGGCACGAAAGCUAGGGGAGCAAACCGG